RNAcentral lists this unclassified non-coding RNA (253 nucleotides) under Hevea brasiliensis (rubber tree). The record is from RNAcentral. Lineage: Eukaryota; Viridiplantae; Streptophyta; Magnoliopsida; Malpighiales; Euphorbiaceae.
ACAUUUGUUGAGUCACUCAUCAUCUGAACAGGGGUGUACAUUAAUUACAUUUCACAUUGCCUGUUCUUUACGAACAACUUUAAUAAAAGAAAUAAAUUUAUAAUGCAUCUAUAAUAAAUAAUGCUGAUCAAAGAAGCAUAAAAGCUAUUUAAAAUUAAAAAUUAACAAAUAAAGGGGAAAGAGAGUUUAAGAAGUAGGCACGUGAAUAAUCUCUCAAAUGAAUAACCAAAGAAAAUAAAGUCACAGCAUCAGA